Molecule: ribosomal RNA, 275 nt
Filed under: uncultured bacterium
Lineage: Bacteria
Description: partial 16S ribosomal RNA
Rfam family: Bacterial small subunit ribosomal RNA
Source: RNAcentral
CCUACGGGUGGCUGCAGUGAGGAAUAUUGGUCAAUGGACGCAAGUCUGAACCAGCCAUGCCGCGUGAAGGAUGAAGGCGUUCUGCGUUGUAAACUUCUUUUAUUAGGGAAGAAACCUGCGUAUUCUUAUGCAGCCGACGGUACCUGAUGAAUAAGCACCGGCUAACUCCGUGCCAGCAGCCGCGGUAAUACGGAGGGUGCAAGCGUUAUCCGGAUUCACUGGGUUUAAAGGGUGUGUAGGCGGACUUUUAAGUCCGUGGUGAAAUCUCUGGGCUU